Long non-coding RNA from Myodes glareolus (Bank vole), 313 nucleotides. RefSeq lists it as uncharacterized. The record is from RefSeq and is a predicted model, not a curated record. Lineage: Eukaryota; Metazoa; Chordata; Mammalia; Rodentia; Cricetidae.
CUAGACUGACACAUCUGGGUCCUACAUUAGUGAAGGACAGACAGAGGUUUCGGAGGCUAGCUACCAGAGUCUGGUAUCUGCUCACAGACCUGCCGGUUUGGAUGUGAACAGCACACGGCUAGUUUUUCAUGGGAGACUGCUGACAUAGUAAGCCAGCUCUUCCGGUUUCAGCCCUCUUCAUUGCAAGGCACCAAAAUCCCAGCCCCAAGUGUCUGAAAUGAGGGCUGCUUUUGCUGAAGAAGUUCUUACGGGGCCAUUAGUUCAGGAGAAUAAAGGUAUCCCGCUAAGGAAUCUGAAGACCACUGGACAAUGA